RNAcentral lists this transfer RNA (63 nucleotides) under Cordylochernes scorpioides. Its description in RNAcentral is "tRNA-Ser". The record is from RNAcentral. Lineage: Eukaryota; Metazoa; Arthropoda; Arachnida; Pseudoscorpiones; Chernetidae.
GCAUCGAUGGUUCAGUGGUAAAAUGCUCGCCUGCCACGCGGGGUUCGAUUCCCGGCCGAUGCA